UUUUAAGUAACGAUAUUUAUAUAGCUGUGAAAUAUUAAUUUGCAAUGACAUAAUAAAUUUUUUUGAACAUUAAUCUCAUUAUAGGUUCUUAUUAUAUUUGUUCUUUUUGAUACAAUGCCUAAAACUACCCAUAACCCCUCCUAAAACCCUUAUAUAGGAGGAUAAUGCGCUUCAAUACACUCGAACCCACAUCCUCAUGUAUUGACAAUAAUGUCGAUGCCAAUUGAGCUAAGACU
This 236-nucleotide long non-coding RNA is filed under the name Gossypium barbadense (sea-island cotton). RNAcentral's name for it is "long non-coding RNA (GBAR_LNC006138)". Lineage: Eukaryota; Viridiplantae; Streptophyta; Magnoliopsida; Malvales; Malvaceae. The record is from RNAcentral.